Non-coding RNA from Chrysemys picta bellii (western painted turtle), 3099 nucleotides. The record is from RefSeq and is a predicted model, not a curated record. Lineage: Eukaryota; Metazoa; Chordata; Testudines; Emydidae.
GGGACUGGACUCGAUGACCUCUCGAGGUCCCUUCCAGUCCUAGAAUCUAUGAAUCUAUGCAGAAAGGGUCUCAGUCUUUAAAAAUAAUGCAAAUCCAGGCUAGAAAAAUAACAAAAUGUGUAGCUCUUAUGUGCAUUGCAAUUGUCUUCCUAUUUUGUCCUCACAACUUAACAUCCUAGUACUUUCCAUUAGUUAAUUACUAUAAUACACCUCUCCCUCGAUAUAAUGCUGUCCUCGGGAGCCAAAAAAUCUUACUGUGUUAGAGGUGAAACCGUGUUAUAUUGAACUUGCUUUGAUCAACCGGAAUGCGCAGCCCCCCUCCGGAGCGCUGCUUUACCACGUUAUAUCCGAAUUCGUGUUAUAUCGGGUGGUGUUAUAUCCAGGUAGUGGUGUACCAGAUAAUUGACAGCAUUGGAACAUCACUGAUCAAACAUAAUAUGGAGCCAAAAAUCAUACUUUUUUCUUCAUUUAAAUAAAUGAUUUAUAUAUAAUUCUUUAUUUCAUUAGAAAAAAAAUGAAAGGAUCUCAAGCCAUUUUCCAGCAAUAAUCUUAAAGACAUAGCACUAAUUCAGGAAAACAUUUAGAAACAUUUGCUAAACAUUAGGUCAUGUCAUGAACAGGAGUAAACUUAAGCAUGUUCCUAAAUCCAGGCAAUAACUUGUAGAAGGUUCUGGUGUGUAGGUUAGUUAUCCUAGGCAACUCCUGGUAGCAGUUCAUACAAGAGGGCCUGCUACAACUGUUAAUUAGAAUUGUCUUUUGCAAUUAUGUCUUGUAUUUAACUCUCUUAGAAAAUUACUGCUAUAGCUUCUGAUCGUUACUCAAUUUGUUUUUAACUUACUAAAAUAUUUUCUAAUAGCGAUAUUGUGUCAGAUCACUCCCAUUGUGAGACAUGAUAUUGAUCCAGAGAUUAAAGCCAGAAGGGACCAUUAUGGUCAUCUAGUCUGACCUCAAGCAUUAUACGAGUCCAUGGAAUUUCACUCAGAAAUUCCUGCAGUGGAGGGAAUUAUUCUUGUGUAUAGCAUAUGUGAGACAUGGACAGAGAUAUAUGGGCGUAUAUAAAUUCUCCAAUACAGUAAACUGGUGAAAUUUUGCUCUAGUUUUUAACUGGCAAUUUGAUACAGAAAUUAAUAGCCAGCUGAGAGACUGAGAUCAGCCACCAAAAGAGAGAAGAAAAUGGUAAAUAAGAAAUAAAAGAAGCAAUGAGCUUUUGCCUUACCGGGUGGUAACAUUUUUCCAUUUGAAAAUUUAGAAUAUCAGCAUUUUGUUUUAUUACUUUCAAAUGAACUCUUAAAAAGAAAAAAAAGGAAAAAAGAAAAAGCGAGCUCAGGGUUGGGGCUUCAUUUUUGAGGCUCUAAUAAGUGUGGGGGUACAUUUAAUAUGUGGAUAUUUGUAUGGUAUUUUUUGCUUGAUUUUUCUCUGAACUGCAAAGCAGAGAUUUCAUUGUUUUUAGUAGUUGGAUGCAUCAGCAGAUCCUCUCUGGCAUACUAUCCACAAUUCCUUUAAUGUACAGCAAGAAUAGUUACAACUUUAAUGACCACAAAUGAUCUUAUGGUUCUAGUCCUUUUCAUAAUUAUGUUGGUUCUUAAUAUAUGGGUCACAGCCACAAUAUUGCGUUACCGGAAGACUGAAAAGACUGAUUAGAUGACAGCUUCUCUCCAGCUGCAACAUAUUUCAAACAGUUUGGAUCAAAAAAAAUAUAGUGAAACCUGAAGAGACCUCCAUGUCCAGGCAGCCUUCCGUAUGCCACCUGCCUCAUAUUAUCCCUUAAAAGAUUAAUGACUGUCCAGUUUGGCCAAUGUACAUAGCAGACGGGCAUUGCUGGCACAUGAUGGCAUAUAGAACAUUGGUGGACGUGCAGUUGAACAUGAAUCUCCAGCUACCAAUUAGAUUCAAAACCCAUUCUGGGGAAUAACUGACUCUGUUCCAAAUAAAUAUCUCAGCUCAAGAAAAUCUCUUAGAGUUGUGAAGUCAUCACAUGCUGAAAGCCAAGUUUGCAAACCAAACCAGGAAUCCUGUUUCUGUUAAAGAAGUGUAUGAAGAACUCCCUGAUGAAGUAUGAAAGUGCUGCUUUCAUACGCUUCUAGUUACCUGGGCAAGUCUGGGUUUUCAGCAAUGAUUUCUGUGAAAACUAAUCACCAAAAUGGUUUAAACUUGGAAAAUGACUCACAUCUGGCACUAUCAGAGAUUCAGAAACAUUGAGCAACUGUGCAGUUCAAAACAGGCCCAUUCUGCUCACAAAAAUCUUAGGCCGUGUCCAAACAUGCCAAAGAAUUCAUAUUUUCACAUUAUAGUCUUAAAAACCCAAUUUAGAUUGGAUUAUAUAAUUAAAGAAACUAUGUAGAUGAAUACGGUCACAAAACCAUCCAAACUCUAAUGUCCUGAGUCAGUUAAAAUAAACAAACAAACCUGUAUUUGACUGUGGGAGCCAAGUUUUAAAAUAUCUGUAAGGGAGCUACAGACUAUUCUCCUUGAGCCACACAAUAUCCCAAGAUGUCUUCUCCUUCCCUGACCACUGUGGCAAUAGUGAUUGCUGAGAACUGAGACUCUUUUCAAAACAGGGAGAUGAGCUCUAAAGAAGAUAGAAAAAAGCAUUCCCGCAGGACAGAACAGGCUUUCUGCAGGAUAUUACAGAUUCACAUUUGAGGAAUUUCACCUGAUAAAACGUACUUAUCCACUGUUAAGAUAAACUCCUAGGUUCUUUGAUACAUCACAAUCAAUCCAAGAUUUGAAAAAGUUCCAGAGCUAGAUGCGACUGCAAGUUGAGAGGAGCCUCCAUUUAACUAGUCCUCUUAACAAGGCAUGAUUGCUAUCCCCUUCUUCAGAAGGAAGAUUAUUAUCCAGUCAUCCUUCCUGCCAAUGUAUAUGGAGCUAAAGAAAAAAAUGUAUUGAAGAUUUGGAGCCACUAGACUGAAUGUCACUUACUUCUUGUGAAGGACCAUGAAGAUAUGGAGGGACACUGGACUUUAGAAUGCAAAGACGUGGCUCCGAAUAUAUGAAGCACCUCCAUAAAUUGGAGGUAUCGAGAGUUCGCCAAGAUAAUCAGUGUGACAAGCUGACAUUCCUGCAAUAUCCUGAAUAAACCGUACUGAAUUGAAUUUA